Molecule: long non-coding RNA, 533 nt
Filed under: Homo sapiens (human)
Lineage: Eukaryota; Metazoa; Chordata; Mammalia; Primates; Hominidae
Description: HSALNT0338345
Source: RNAcentral
CACUUCCCCUUCCGCCUUCUGCCAAGGGCCCAAGGCCCAGGUGCAGCCAAAGCCUGGGCAGCCCCAGCAGGGCCUGUCAUGGGCACAGCCUCUGGACCGCCCACACUGCACCUGGAGUUAGGAGACCUGUGCUCUGGUCCCAGCAAAAAUACAUUUUUGUUUUAAACUGUGAAGGUUUGGAGGUUAUUUGUCAGCACAGCACAGCCUGACCCUCCAUCUCCAAAGAGAUCAAAAACUGAAGGAAUGGUGCCUGAAAGUGCUUCCGACGUCAAGCUAUCCUGAAGCACCAAAUUCUCAACUGUUGCCGUAUCUUUCUGUCCCAGCAAAGACCUUAACUCCAAAAAAGGCUCAAGUCUACCAAGAAGGCACCCAAACCUUCUGCACUCGAUAAAUGCAGAAGGUUUGGGUGAGGGCAGCAAAAACAGUGAUUGCCUAAUAACAAAGUGACCAAGGGUCCCUCACGCCAAUAUUGUAGCACUCUUUUUUUUUUUCUGUAAUUGUGAAUCUUCUUGGUAAAGUAAACAUAUACUAAA